This is a non-coding RNA of Podarcis lilfordi (Lilford's wall lizard), 29994 nucleotides long. The record is from the annotation of a GenBank genome assembly. Lineage: Eukaryota; Metazoa; Chordata; Lepidosauria; Squamata; Lacertidae.
GCUUAGGCAUAUGGGAAAAUAGAUAGGCGCUUAUCAUGUGACAACAAUUUUAAAACUUUUCACCUAGCUGUCCCCAUUACAUGGAGAUCUGUUGUCUUGAUCCAUACAAUGAAAAAAGCAUAACUACAUUCCAGGAAAUACGUACGUCUGCAUUUUUAAAAAUGCAGACUUCCAUUUCCCUGCUGGUCCUGCUCAGAAACUAGCUCCUUUCUGCUGUACUUCAAGAGCAUUAAACAUUCAGAGCCAUAUAUAUAUCCUUCAAGGCUGUCACUGGUGCGGCUAGCAAGAACUUGAUUUGGUGGUUUUUAAGGAAAGAACUUGAAUGAAAUAUAUAUAUAUUUCAACUUGCUACUUCCCCUGCCUUACUUUUUUCUUAUGCUGCUACAAGGAGCUGGGGGCCUAUAUUAAACACCUACAAGUAUAUUUGUUGUCCUCAAGUAAAAAUCACAGUUGAAGCAUUUCGGUAUAAAGACAAUUUGUUCACAGCCAAGAUGGGUGUUCAAAACGGAGGACAUAUAUCAUAUAAAUAAUACCAAUGUUGUGAGAUGCAAGGCAAUGGCCUACUAAAAACAGACUGGAUCAGGAGGUCAGCUUUUAUUAUAUAUUAAAGGUAAAGGUACCCCUGACUGUUAAGUCCAGUCGUGGACGACUCUGGGGUUGCGGUGCUCAUCUUGCUUUACUGGCCGAAGGAGCCGGUGUACAGCUUCCGGGUCAUGUGGCCAGCAUGACUAAGCCGCUUCUGGCGAACCAGAGCAGCGCAUGGAAAUGCCAUUUACCUUCCCACUGGAGAAGUACCUAUUUAUCUACUUGCACUUUGAUGUGCUUUUGAACUGCUAGGUGGGCAGGAGCAGGGAUCGAGCUGUUAUGGUUCUGGACAUUUCGACACAAGCAAUGGGAGUUCACCCCGUUGCGGGGAUUCGAACCACUGACCUUCUGAAUGGCAAGCCCUAGGUUCAGUAGUUUAGACCACAGUGCCACCCGCGUCCCAUUUAUUAUAUAUUAGCAAAUAGCAGGGCAUAUUCAGAAGUCAGAAAACAAUCAGAAGUGCAGAAAAAAAUAAUAACCCAGUAGUCCACUGCUAUCCAUAUGUCCUGAUUUAUUUACAGGUUCUUAGUCUGAAAGUGUCACUGCCAUCACCAGAAGCACUUUUCCUGAGCAGGCAUUCCUGAGAUCUCAGUUGCUUUCCAUCAUUUGAUGGCUCCACAGGUGCCUCUAGGCAACAACUCUGUUUUCCUCCAUGUCUCUCCCUGCUUGGUAACCUUUCAGCACUGAGCACAGCAGAGCGCCUCAAGCAAUGAGUCUCAAAAUGAUGUCACAGGGAACGAAAACAGCAACUUUUCACCAUCCACGUUACGUGUCAUAAACAGCCUCCAAAGCCCAAGGUUCAAUCUUCCUACUGCCACCCGCAAUCACAUUAAUACAGUACAUUCUCAGUGACAAAGAGGCUUCCUAGUUGCUUCUGUCCAUCUCCUCUUCUUAGCCAAUCAUAAAAAUCACUAGCAGCACCCUUGUCCCCAGGGAGGGAAAACACUUACAAAAGAAAACAAAUAAGCAACUAUGUCUUGAAGAAAAGGCUUGGGAUAAUAUGUGUGUGUUUUCUUUGAAUUUAAUUUGGUACAAUGAUGCUCCAGUCAAAAUAAAGAUUUCAUGUUUGCUAGCUGAACAAAGGGUUAAGAGACGUAAGAGUUCUCUGCAAAUUCCUAGAGGGCACUCGGUGAGGUCACAUCCUCUGUUUGCACAGGGCAGGAAGAGAACAAUAGGGAAAAAACUUACUACUUCCUUCCUGUCCAGAGCUCAUCUCUUUUACAUCUUGCAGCUGUGGAGAAAGGGUGUAGUCUGUGCUCUGUUGAGCACAGGCACCAUAUUCAAAUGUGUGUUUUGUAAUCUAGAAGUCUAUUUUGCCUGACUUACUUGACUGCCAUUUUCUGCUUGAAUCAAGUCUGCAGUGUUAUGUAAGCAAACAACAUUUUUAUGUUUACAUUACAGACUACUGUACUGUGUUGUUAUCAUUUAAGUUUGGAGCUGCAGGUUUCAAAAUGCUGUCUUUAUGAAUGAUUUAUUUUACUUUGCUCAACUGGGUUCUGUAAAAAACCCUCUUCCCCUUCAGCCAAACCCAAGAACUUACCCAGUGGAGGAGGCUACAGUGAGUAUUUCCAGCAUCCCAACAGAGUAACUUUUUUUUUCUACCAGGGACUACUCGCCCCAUAAUUUCUGGCUGGAAACUGAUGCUAGGCUCAUCAUUUUUGCCAGAGAUUCUGGAGCCAAUUGCCCUAGGCCUCUGCAGGAAGAAACACUUAGCAGGGAGCAAUUCCCAUGGACGUAAAGUGGGGCUUACUUCUGAGUAAUGUACAAGCUAAUACACUGCAAUGUUUCAUUGUCCACUGUUUCUUUGCAGAGGAGGAGGAUAGAGAGCCAGAACAGAAGAGGGUACCACACAACUUUUCUCCCAGUGAAGCAGCAACUGCGGCAGCUGAGACCCCUUCUGAAUCAAGGUAAGAGGCUUUAGGCCCCAGGUGCAUCUCCACUGCUUAAGUGUUUGCUGUUCCUUUCUCAAGUGAAGAAGACGGGACCUCCUAGACACUACCUAAGUGACCUAGGUGUCCCACCAGUUCAAUUUUAAUUUUAUUAUGGAUUUAUUUAUUAAAUGUUUAUAUUGUCCUUCAGCCAUAGAUCUCAGGGCAGUUGUCAGGUCUAGGUUCCCGGUGGCGCCAUUGAUUGCAAAGGAUUGUGUUUGCCCAAAUGACCUAUAUGGGCUUUCAAAUGGGUCAAAUGUAUAAUCUUCCCAGAAAACAUGUGAAGGGGUUGUAUUUUUUCCCCUUUUUUCUCCAACCUGCCUCUACUUUAUCAAAGCAGAACCAAUGACAUUUAUGUUUUGAUGCUCAGACCUACAGAAACUCCCUAUAGAAAUUGCUGGCACAGUUGACAUCAUCACAGCCCCAAUGAUUCCUGACAUAUUACAUGAGAUACCUUUCAGUAAACUUGUGCAUGGCGGGGAAUCCAUAAAUCCAAAUUCAAUUAAGUCAUUUUUAUGCUGCACAUAUUCACCAUACAGUACACAUCCAGCUCUUUUAUCUUGUGAAGGGGAAGGUAGAGGCAGGAGAGACAACAGAACCACAACACUUAUAAAAACGACUUGCUUACAGUCACUCAGUAAUUAUUAUUCUAGCAUUGCCCUAAUACAUUGUCUUACAAAUGCCAAGGCAGGGAGAUAAGCGUUUGCCUGUUGAAGGUGAAGAGCUCUGUUCUGUCUUUAGAUAUUUGGAGCUAAAUUGCUACUCUUAAAUCACUGCUGUUUUUUCCCAGUGUGCUGUGUGGGAUUGUACUGGAGACACACUGUUGCUAUGCCCUUCCCAGCCCCCACCUCGCCUACUACAUACAAGUCCUUUCUUUUUUAGGGCAUUUCCCCAUUAUUUCAAUCAUUUAUAUCUUUGAAUGCCUGACAUUUUACAGUGCCCAAACCCCACGUUUCAGUGGGCAUCAGUAAAUCAUCCCCCAACGCUGUGUCUUCCUUAUACACUCUUCCAUACAUAACAUCAAUCAUUUUACCAUUUCAUAGGAAUAAAAAAAGAAAGAAUGUUUUCUUAACUGUGUCUUGCUUUAUUGGCCACAUUACAUAAACAGGAUGAUUUAUGAAGCAGGAAAAGGAAAGAAGGUGGUGUUUGCUCUUAUGCGUUCUUCUCCCAUCUGUGAUUUUUGUCGUGUCUUUAGGCUUCAUGGAAGCAUCCUUGCACUAAGUUAGUAUAGGGGCAUGUGCAAAUGUCUAUACCCCCUCCCUUUAAGCUUUCUGAAUGUUUGUAAAAUGACUGUGCCUGCUUUUUGCUAUGAUACAAUGCAGAUAACCUGACUGUUCUACAAUAUUUGCUGCUUUAGGCCAUUGAUAAGAAUGGGCAUAGUAUGGGUUUCCUAUACAAGUUGUGUCUUUGUCAUGGAAACCAAGUUAACAGACAUUAAGCACACCCUUGCCUCUCCUCUCUACCCCACUCUCUCUUUCUCUCUCACACACACAUUCACAGUUGCUAUGGUGGCACAAGAUGAAUGAUCUUUCCUGCAGUUUCAUUGAUGACAUACAGCCCUGUAAUGAACUGUCAGUUCUUUUGUAGGGUUGACUUUUGGAGAUUCGUAGCUUCUACUGAUCCAAGGCCGGCAAGUGUUUUCCUCUUUUUUUUUUAAUGAACUGUGGCUUCUGAAAAAAACAACACACCAACCAGCGUUUGUGGGCAGAUAGAGAACCAAGCUAAAACACAUUAUUUUUAACUAAGCUAGAGACCUAGUAGGCUAGACAGUGAAAACAAAGGUGGACAGGAGCAGAAAUAAGUUGGGUAACAACUUAUUUUAGUAUUUUUAUUUGGGUGCCUGAUAUCUGUGUUUGUUGUUCAGCAUUCGGACAAACAAAGAAAAGAAUGCUGCUUUCACACUGUCCCUUCCUUCCUGUCUCUUUACUGCAACUACUGUCCUCUAAACUAAUUUCUUCUGCUGUGGUGUGCCUCUGCUUGCCAUUGGCUUAAAUUUGGUAGCUGGCCAUUUUGGAACCUACUCUUUGCAUGCACCAGACACAGAAGAAUUCUCAAAAUGGUGGCUGACAGGCACCAAUGGUGCACAGCAGUAGAAAAAAAAAGAUACAAGAAACAGUAUGGCAUUGUUGGCCUGGGCAAUUGUGAAACCAUGGGUUGGAAUCCACUACUACAGCAACAGCAUGGGAAGCUCAAAUCUGAAAUUAUGAAGCCUUCUGCAUGAAGCUAAAGCUUCAAGGAAAAGACUAUUGGAAGAAUUCCAUCUUGUUUAUCCAUGCGCUGUACAGUAGUAAAAAACUAGCUAUCAUGAAGACAUGCCCCCGAAAAUAAAAUCUGGGCUUCCUCUGCCUUGAAAUCCUACAUUCUUAGAGUAGAAAAGCAGGCAGUAUAUUAACACUUUCCUUGCUUAUUUUGUGUAUAAUUAAAUAUUCAAAGUUAUGGACAAGUAAUCUUGCAGAAUUAGACUUCCCUAGCUGCCUGUGGCCCCUGUAGGGCUGAGAGUAUUUCAUAAUGAAGAGGCGUACUGGGGAGUAAUGAAUAGAGGUAUUGUGUAGAAUGGGGGGAACCUGGCAAACAACUGUAUGCCUACGCUAUAAGGUUACAAAGAGACAGUGGAGAAUGGGACUUGGCUCACGCUCAGGUAGAGCUUUCCUUUUCCUUAAAGUUCUUUGUUGAUAACUUCUGCAUUCACAUGCAUUUGAGAAAAGCGUCAUAUCAAGGACUCUGCAUCUUUGCAAGGAAAACAAUAUACCAGGAAGCAUUUCAAAACACAGGCAGCAUCUUCUGCAGAAGCUUGUUUAGAAAAUAGGUUUGGCUAAACAAAAGCCUUGGAAAUAACAUAAUCAGCACUGCCCCUGUUUGGGUGCAUGGGCCGAGGGAGGAACAAUUUGUCAAAGAUACACGCUUGUAAUGUUCAAAGAAACAAUUUUCUAGCACAGUGUUAUCUCUUGCAACUCCUCUUUUCUAUCUAUUGUUUGCUAUACGUUUUUGUUCAAGAGAAAAAUUAGGCACGCUCUGGAGUGUUUGCUUGGUCUGGAAUUUCCCCCCUGUGCCAAGCUGUUUAAUUUAUGAUGCCCUUCCAUAAGAAAAAGCAUCUUGGAGACACUGUACACACCGUAGCAGAAUAUCUAAUUUAUUUAUCCUCCAACCAAGGCCCUAGGUCAGCCUUCCCUAACCUGGUGCUGUCUGGAUGUAGCUGAAUUUCAGCACCCACCCCCAGUGCUAGCCAUUAGGGAUGACAUUGUUGUUGUUGUUGUUGUUGUUGUUGUUGUUGUUGUUGUUGUUAAUCUCCUUCCACAUAUAUGCCCAAGAUGAUUUACAGACAUACCCUGAAAAAAAGAUGAAAUAAUGUUUAGAACUGUAUAAAAAACAAUGGAAUAUGGGUUUUAAAACAACAUAAAACAAACACCUAAGGCAGAGAGACCUUUUCAUCUAGCUGGAAAAGUUUGUCAAAACAAAAACGACUUCAGUUGUUUCCAGAAACUACAGGUCGUGAAUAGACAGUACAGCAAUGUCCAAAGGCAACCAGGAUGGGGAAAGCUGUGCAUGCAUUAUUUAAUUGUUGCAGUCACUCGACUCGUUGAUUAAGGUUGGAUAUGUGGAUUCCUACACCAGUGUUAACUAGGGCUGUUACCUGUGAAAUGGCUUUGGGCGCCGAGACAAAUGUUCUGAACAUGUCUCUGGACGUUUCUUCAUCCAGGCAGUGGCUGGGAUACAAAGAGCUCCUUCAGGCAUGUGCAUGCCCAGUGGGAUUUCCCCUUUGAAUGGCAGUCUGCUGUGCCACAUCACAAAUGCUUUUUAAACUCCCUUCAGUUUUCCUCACGCAGCAUGGAGGGCUAAUGGUAAAAAAAACAACCCACAUUUUUUUUUCUAAAAGGAAAAGGAAAGGUACAGUUGUAUCAACCCACAUGUACAACUUACAAAAUAAAGCAGCUGACAAAACAAAUAAAAUAAAACAUUGGGUUGUAUCCAAGGUGCUUUUCGACCCAUUGAAAAGCUGCUUUGGAUUUAGUGGAGAAAUCUAGGAAGUCCCUCUGUUUGUGCAAGCUCUUGUGUAAGACAUUGCGCUUUUGAAUGGGCAACCAGUAUGAAAACGAGAAACACAAAGAAAAAUCUUAGCUCUAGCCUCUUUUUCCCCAUGCUGCGCAUACAUUUAAAAUUUUAUUUAUUUUCAUUUUUAUACUUCCCUUCAUCCUUCGAACUCAGGAUGGUUCACAUCAUAAAAAUACAAUAUAAAAACAUAAAAUACAUAAUAAAAAUAAGAACCAAACCAAUAAUCCCCCCCUCCCACAACACACCUAUCAUGUCACUUCUUACUUGCCCCAAAUCUCCUUGCGAUUCAGUGUACAUGCAAAACUGACCGUCCCCAAUAUCUAUUACUCUCCUAAAAUUGUAACUCACCAUGCAGUCUUAUUCAUGUCUGCUCAGAGGUAAGUCCUAUUAGUUAACAUCUUACUUAGUUCUGUGUGGCUUACUUCCAUAUAAGUGGGUACAGGAUUACAGUCUUUGUUUCCUAGCUGGAAGAAAUUUGCCCUGAUCUAUAUGUGGAUGUCCAGAUAUUAUGGAAUAACAGAAUCAUAGAAUUGUAGAGUUGGAAGGGACCCCCGAGGACCAUCGAGUCCAACCACCUUUUAACCACAAUGAUGCUAAUAUUUUACAACCUGUUUUCAGUGAUAUUGGACAACAGCUGGCUUGCCUUUGUUGAUUACAGUUACUGCCUGAGUCUUGAGAUCGUUGUAUGGGGGAAAUGCUUCAUUUUUUGUCAUAUACAGUCUUCAAAGUUUUUGUUUUUGUUUUAGAAUUUUUGCACUAUCAUUGUAGAGUUGCAUCCAAAGGUCCCAUUCCUUCCACCAGAAAAAGGAAACCUAUGGAUGCACCCCUGAGUGCUUCUAGCACAGGUGUUGCUUGAAAUUUUUAAAAAAUGUGGAGCUAUUCUAGAAACCUGAACUUGUGAUUACUUUGUUUCCUCACAACUUUCACUUCUCUUUGUUUUGCUGGUUUCUGUGUUCAGAAUAGGUUUGUUUAGAUGGUUUUGGUUGGAUGUAGAAGCAGGCAAUCCUUCAGGCGUUCUGAAACCAAGCCAUAUGCAUGGUUUUUCAGCAGUAGCACUUUGAGUUGUACCAGGAAAUGUAUUGGAAGCCAUGGAGGAGCGCCAUAUGUUUCCAUUACACAGCCCCAGUUAGCAGUCUAGCUGCAAUCUAACAUACCAUUCAUUGCAAUCAUCUAACCUGGAGAUGAAAUAGUUCUGUAGAAACCAGGCCUUCCUUUGCAGUUGGUUGCCCAGCUAUAAUAGCAUGCAUUUAAGUCGUGGACUGGUGCUAAUCCAAGUAUUACAGCUCAAAGUUUCCACAGUAGGUCUGAGCAAGCUAGGAACACAAUGACUUCCUGAUCCACAGGGUAUCCCUUAUAUAUGUUCUACACAUGUUCUACAUAUGUUCUACAUAUAAAAAGUCCUAAGUUCAAUCUUUGACUUCUCCAAGUGAGGCUGGGAAGACUCCUGUUUGAAACCAUGGAGUGUGGUUGAUAGACAUUAUAGGCAAUACUGAAUUAGAUAAACCUAUGGUUUAAUUUGGUACAAGCUGUCUUCCUAUGUUGUAGAAUCACAAAAUAUAUUGGAUAAUUACAAUGGGUGUAAAAAAGAGAAGUCAAUAAUUUACAGCUCUCCACAGGCAUCUAAUUGCUCUGGGGAAAAGGGAAGCACAAGACUACAUUUUUUUUUAGCUUCAGUACAGUGGACAAUUCACUAAGUGAUAAAUUACAAUGCUGGACAGUUUAAUCUAUGGAAUACUGGUCAUCUGUACAUUUGCCCUCAUGGUGGUGUGGAGAAUCCUGUUAUACCACUUAGAACUGACCAGAAAUUGGGGGAUGCCAGGAAAUUCUAAGGUUUCCUUUACCAUGUAGGCAGAAAUUAUAGGCGAGCAUCUCAUCGUGUGGUUUUCGGGUAAAUGGUUCUCUGUCAAAUGGGAGAAAGGGUAGAGAACUACCUGAGUGCAUGUAAAAGGAAACAAAAAUGUGCACUUAUUCAUCUUUGAGUUGGUGAACCUGCUCCAGAAAGUACCAUUUUUCUAUAUGGCAAGUUUCACGACCUGCUUUAAGCAUUUCUCAGCUUUUCUAAAAAGCAUUUUGCAGUGUAGGAUAGGUGCAGAAAGGAAGAUUGACUUCAGGGGAAAAAGAAAACAAAAAAGUCCCAUUGUGCACUUUUCCCUAUGCCCCUCUCUGGAUUGGAGCACAGUGAUUUUGAAAUGAACGCCAGUAUUAGUCAGGGACUGUCUCCCCCUCCCAUUUUUUAAAGAAAGCUCUUUAUGUAAUCUAGCCUUACUGAUUGAUUAAUAGUGUUCCCUGGGGUGAAGUCUUCAAUAGGCUCUGUUUGAAAAAGAAUUGUUAAAAGCUGAAGAGCCACAUUAUAUACUUUAUAGGUCAAAAACAGCACCUCAAAUUGUUCUCGAAAGACAAUAGGAAAAUAGUGCAGAAGCUUUUGUGGGUAACAAGCCUCCGGUAACCAGGCUCCGCUAGGAGGUAGACCACAGGAUUCUGCCUCAAUUGGCAAUAUUCAUCUCUUAUUGAGAGCAAUCAUGGAAGAUGUGUGAUGAUCAAUUUUACAUGUACCAUUUACAGUGCUUUCAAGCCUCACUCUCAUGCUGCUGUGCAAGUUUAAAUGUGCUUAUACAGUGGUACCCCAGGUUACGUACGCUUCAGGUUACAUACGCUUCAGGUUACAGACUCUGCUAACCCAGAAAUAGUGCUUCAGGUUAAGAACUUUGCUUCAGGAUGAGUAUAGAAAUUGUGCUCUGGCAGUGCGGCAGCAGCAGGAGGCCCCAUUAGCUAAAGUGGUGCUUCAGGUUAAGAACAGUUUCAGGUUAAGAAUGGACCACCGGAACGAAUUAAGUACUUAACCCGAGGUACCACUGUAUCAGCUUUCUAAAAUUGUUGAUGGUGAUACAGAAAGGAAUAAUUAGAAUGGUAUUUUAUUCUUCCUGCGUGUUUUGGGUCACCUGUGAGCAAAUGACAUUACCUGAAGUGCAUUUUUAGUCCACCAUUUGUGUGACCCAUUGGGAAUGGCUUCUCUAGACAUUUUACCUCUCAUUUCUGGAGGAAAGUGGCUCAUUGGUCACACUGACCUAGGCCCAGAUUAACAUUCCUUGAGUCAUACCCAUUUCGAUGAUGGACUCUUUGUCAUAGCCAUUUCCUGCACCUCCCUGCUCUCUGUUAAGAAAAAGGCAAGGUAAACAUGAAAUGCUUCCCUCUCCUUAUUGACAUCUGCUGGUGUGUGUGCGUUUGGGUGGGAGGGGAGAACUUAUCAAUUUUGCCAGCAGUGUGCUCUUUUCCUUUCCUUCAAAGCAGAUAUAUAUUUUUAAUCAGUGCUGGUUCACAUAAACCAUGCCUUUUGAAACUGACAUGGUUUUCUCUACCUUUAAUUUCAACAUAUGUUAGAAAGGGCCAGUGGUAGAAUUGACAGUGUAUCAGAUUCACUGGAAACCAAGUGGUUAGAUGUUGAAGGAAGUGGUGAUGGGAGGGUGGGGAAGUCAUGCAAAAGGAGGGGGUAAUACCUUGUCAGACUGUCACCAACCAUGCCAUGAAGGUAGUUGUGGGCCAGUAUGGGUCUGCAUUUGAGGUAGACAAGUGAGAAAGUAACAGGAACUGGCAAAGAUUCCCAGGUGAUCUUCAAACAAAAAAUCUUCAAGAAAAGGUGCCAUAGUGAUCUUGAGUAUGCAUUCUAAGAGACUGGAUCAGCUUCUCAGAUCAAUUCACUGUUUAUUCCAGCAUUGUGAAUGUUAUAUGAGGGAAAAAAUAAGAAGCAUACUAAAUGCUCUUUAUGUAAAGAAUUAUUAUGAAGACAUGAAUUGCUACAGCUUUGACCAUUUCCUUUUUAUAUCAUUAUUUCCGCAUAUUAGCCCUGUCUUGAACCACCAUUGACCUUGACCUUGAUGCCCCAAACAGCAAUAAUCUGUGCAAUCCUAUGUAUAUUUAUCUACUUAGAAGUCCCACUGUGUUUGAUGAGACUUGCUACCUAGUAAGUGUGAAUACGAUUGCAGUCCAAAAUUAUUUCAAGAUGCAAGAACUACACUCUCUGUCAAACAUGCCCGAUGAUAAUGUCAGUUGAAAUCAUCCAUUUCCAGAUGGUGGUAUUCUGAGAUCUAAGAAAUUCAAUGAGCAUAUUAAGUUUUCCAUGUAACUUAUGAGGAUUAAUUCCAAAUUAAAAAUAAAUAUAAGCAAGCUGUGGGCCAGUCUCUUUGCAUAAACAUUUGAAAUGACCACAGCAAACUCAGAUGGCCCCAAUAUUUCCAGUCUGUAGGCACUGGUCAAGUUAAGCUUCUCUAAGAUACUUUAGCUGUUGCAAACAAAUAAACAACAACAACAAAAAGGAAAUAAAUUGAAAAUCUGCUCCGAAAGGAAUGGUAAAGUAAGGCAUCUGUUUAGACCUCUUUGAAACUCCCAGUCAAUACCAGAGUCUUUUCCUACGAAAGUCUGAAUUUGUUUGUAUUUCAUAUAAAUCAGUUGACCUGGUCUCAGCAGCACUGCCUUUCAAAUUGUUAUAUUCAUUUCAUUCCGAGCUUAUUUCUUCCACAAUUGGUCUCUGAGGUUUUAUUUGCUGGUUCAUUUCUUUCAGCCUGCAGCAAGCUUUGCUCUCUUCACCCACCCUCUGCUUCACGCAGCUCUUCUGGGUCUUCUGGUCUACAAAAGGUCAGGUUGUAGUGGUUUGUUUUUAGAUUUGGGCAUUGGACUGUUUCCUACUCGUGCCAUGCAAACCCAAGCCAUUCAUUUCAGGAAGAAUGCAACACCCUGUAGAAAGGAAAACCUACACAGAAAUUAUUGGAAUGCCUUGAACAACACUCUUUAAUAGAACUGUCCUUGCCUCAUAUAAUGUACCUGCUUCGCAUUCAGAAAUGUUCAUUGGCAAAUAUAGCAAUAAUGGACAUGACCAAACAUUCCACAGCUUUUUCUUCCUCUCCAAUGGCAUAUUAAUCUUCUCCUUGUUUUCCAAUAUGAUAUGCAUUCAUUAUACACCAGAGAAAAUGAGUUCAAUUUAGCUAAGGCUGCAAGGAUUGCUCAACUAUAUCAAUUAAAUGGUGCAAUUAACUGAAUAAUUUGUAUAUCAGACAUUUGUUAAGUGCAUUCAAAGUCUAUUCCUGGGCUUGUAACAGCAAUGUGCAGUUAUUCACGGCAUUCUUAAACAAAGGAAUGUGUUGAUUAGUUAGAGAAGAUGCUCCUCUUUCAGUUGUUAAUACUGGGCCUUAUUUCAGUCGCCAGCUCAUACUCUGGAGAGUGCAACACAGUUUAACACUGCCGAAAGGUGGUGAGACCUCUUGGCUUCUCCUGCUCUAUCUACUCCAUCUCUUUCCUCAGCCUCUUCACAUGCAAAACAAAAAUCCUGAUAAGAUAUGAGGAAAAGAACUGAAUAGGAGAAACUUGGAUUGUUUUUGCACCUCUUAAAGGGUUAGUGUAGCAAAUUUAGCCUUAUUGCUUCUAUAGGCGUGAUUGCUCUGUGACCAUUGCAAGCUGCAUUGCACCCAAGAUGCAGCGCAAAGCUCCCUGAUGCAUCACCAGAAUUCUGCCGAAAUGUUGAUGUUUUAACAGUUAUAUUCAAAGGAUUAUGCAUAAAGGGGGCUUUUAGUCUCCCCGUUUUGGUGGCAGUCCCCACAAAGACCUCUAAAGUUUAGGAGGCACAUGCAUAAAAAUGCAUGUAUUGGUGAUAACAACAUUGAAGAUUGCAUGAUCAUAGUAGGGGGAAUUGCUUGCAGAAAUGUGUAUAUGGGGCAAUCCUAUCCAAGAGUUUACCUCACCUCCCUGCACCAGAAGUGGGGUAAUAGUUAAAUAUUGGCUCCUGCCUUUAUGUCCGCCCCCCCCACAAUUGAAUUUUGUCAGUGCGGGAGGUGUGCCAGGGAGGAGGGAUUGAACCCAUCUUCCCUCAUGCAAUUUGGUUGUGUAUGACUCUGUUGCUGUGGAUCUCUAUUGAUCUUACAUACAAAGCUCAAAGGCUGUGUCCCAUUGAAUCCCUUCACAAAGGGAAUGAACAUAAGAAACAGUAUUGGUAAAACAUAAUGAAAUGAAACUAGAAAGAUAAAGCCAAAUUCAUGUUCCAGACUCAUGCUGUUUUCAUCUUUGUAGGUCAACUGUGCUGCAAAAAUCAAAAUUUAUACACAGUUGUGUAGGGCGAGGAGAUACAGGGGGGGAAAAGCUUGGUGAAUGAAGUUAAAGGAAAAUGGAUAGUAAAUGGAUCUAUAUUGUGAAACAAAAAGUACCACCUGGGUCAAGCUGUUGUUUCAUCUACAGCAGCUUGACCCAAAAAACAGUUCUUACCCAGGUUCUGGGAAAGCUUGGAUGUGUGAGUGUUUAAUAUGUGUAUGAAAAAUAAUAAUGAAUGAUGAAACAGAGUUUUACUGUGUUUGACUGUAAACUCCUAGGACCUAGAACAUAAAUGUUUGCAAUACAGUUUGUUUGCCUUUAACACACACACACAGACACACACACAGAGAGAGAGAGGGAUGCAGAUGACAUUUAGGGUGGUAGAAAAGACAAAAACAAAGCUUGAACAAACUGUCAGGUUCAUUGACCUUAUCUACCUUACAGUACUAAAAACCUAAAUAAAUACACAGAGACCUGGGCAGGUCAUGGCAAGAGAACUGACUUGCCUCGCUUACCUUGGUCUGUUUGAAAACUGGCUCAGUGAAUCUUCAGGAAACAAGGCAAAGCCUGCAAAGAGCGUUUCUUAAGCUGGGUUUGUAGACAGUGGUGAAUUCUUAGCACUCAUGAAACCACCAGAACACAAGAACUUUGAUGUCCAUUGGAGGGACAUCAAAGGCGUUCUAAAGCAGAUAUUGCCACUGGUAGCCAUAGGAACUAAGGCUGCAGCUAAAAGUGGCUUUUCAGAUUUGCAAUCCAAAUAUACGUGCAUUAUUGAAUCAAAAUGGACAACUCCAUAACUUUCGUUGUCAAAAUUGGCUGGAACAUUUAUCUAGUUUUCUCAGAGCCUGGCGGCCUCAUAGCUCCCUUAUGCCCAAGAUACCUGGAGCCUGGAUUUGUAAACAGGACUCGGGGACUGUGUAGCUCACUUGGCCUGAUUCCUCUGGAAUUGCAGUAGAUUUUGUUGAGCACCUAUGCAAAUCCCACAGCAUGUUCUGCAUCUGCAGACAACCAAACCCUACCACCAGAUUUGGAAGGGCAUUCAGUGUCAUUUUGAUUCAGCAUGUGACCGGUCAUGUGUUCCUCUUAGUUGCAUGCAUGGGCUCACAAGCAUUCUGAUGCUUUUCACUGCAAUUCAUGUACCGCAUCCUCAUCUUUGACUGUUCAAAGUGGCAUCACACUUUCAGUUCUAUACAAACUUGAUUUAGAGUAAGCUCCAUUGACUUCAGUAGGGUUUAGUUUUGAGUAAUGAGCAUAGCUUUGGUUUGCCCUACCUUCUGGAUCCUGAAAUAGCCUUAAAGAUUUCCCAGCUUCUUUCUUUUUCAAGCCCAGAGAUGAUCCGAUUCAUUAGAAUAACCAGAGAAGAAGUUUUCAAGGAAGGAGAGAGGAAGCGAAUUUUGAGGCAAAAAUAACAUAAUAUCUCAAAUUUUUACUGCUCUGCAUUGAAAUAAUACAUGAGACAACAUGCUGGUUAAAGCCAGAGCUUUAUAGAUAAAGGUCACAUGUUGAACGUUUGCAUAAAUUUGCCGCGCAGAUUGCUUUGACAUGUCACAUUCUGUAAACGCAGGCUCUCCUGUGGUGCUUUAGAGCAGCAGAUACACAUGAUCAACCUGUACAGCCAUAGAGCAUCAUUUGCCUCUUGUGAGAUGGUUCACUUAAAAGCACAAUGCAUUUCCAUUGAACUGAGAGUAGAGGAUUUUUCUUCCUUUUACUUAUUGGCCUUUCUAAGGCAGAACUGCUUUGCCUAGCCAAAGAUACUAUUUUCUUCAUAUGCGGUUCAAGGGUAUGCACAUGGGCUUUCAACAGUGUCAGACUCCAGUGCCCUUGCUCUCCCUCUGCUUAUUCAGCACCCAUUUCCCUAACAUUUUGAGAGCUUGUAGGAGAUGAUGUGAGUGAGAUUACUUGGAACACACAAGAUGCACCAACCAGACCAACCAAAUAUGGUAUAGAAAUUUGUUGUUUUAUCCUUCUUUCAUUCCAAGGAGCUGAAAGCAUCAUUUUAGCCAUCGCAGCCUUAUGGCACAUUUGGCCAAAUACUGUGAUUUGUCGAGAGCUUCCUCAGUGUGCAUGAAGGACAACCACACGUCCCUUUUGCCCUGCUCUUUCCAUUCACAGGUUUGCACUUUAAAGCUCUGUGUCUGAACCCCCGCCCCCUUUCCCCUGUGAAAACUCGCUCUUUAAAGCUGAAUUGGAGCAAAUGACUAUUUGGGUUUUUAAUGGAUUACCAUUUGGUCCGAUUCAGCUUUAAAGAGUGACGUAUCGUGGAGCAAAAAAAGGGAGGGGGCUGAGAUACAGAGCUUUAAAGUGUGGGUCAUGCCUGGAAAGCGCUGAGAAAAGGUGUGGCUAAGCCCUCAGUCCUGUGAAUGUUAUCUCAUAGAACUCAAUAAGACAUACUUCUGAGGUGAUAUGAAUAGGACUGAGAAGUUAUUCUCUUUCUACACAUGCACAUAGAAAAUACCCAUUUUGUUUAGUAGCAAGGGUUGGGAGGGGAUUAAUGACAAGUGGAUGGUGAAGAGCUGGAUUCAACUAUAGAUUAUCUUAAAGGCAUCAUUGCAUCCAGUGGCUGUGGGUUCAGUUUUUUAAAGCUAGUAUUUUCAUGGGGGGAGUGGGAAUCCCCCACUGGUGCCAAUGGGUAAUUUCCUUCGAAAUUAAGAAAAGCACCAGCUUCUGAAAAUGAAUUUUCCUAGGACCGCAGUGGAGGAGAAAAAAGUUAACUGCUCCUCUCUGUAUCUCUUAUGAUUCCAUUAACUGACAUUCACCCCUCAGCUGAUGUGAUUUGUAUUUUUAUAAAAUAGAAAAUCUGCACACUAGAUGAUGCAAAGGGACACUUAAUAUGUAGCUUGGUCCUCAGCUGCAUAGUGUCUUCCGCCUCUAGUUAAGGAUUGGCACUGUAACUGUAUUUGUAGAGGGGGGUGUGUGUGUGUGUGUGUGUGUGUGUGUUUAAAUUAAUAAAAUCAUUUCUGGGUUAGGGAUCAAUUCCAGAGAAAGAAAGGUGUUUGUGGGAGAUGGCAGUGUGAGAGCCUAAUUGAACAAGACUGAAGUUCCAGGGAUUUGUAAGUGGAACAGGUGAAAAUGGCAGUCGUGAUAAUUUAAUACUAAUUACUUCCAUCCUAGCAACUGUCUGCCAGGUGCUCUAAAGAACAAGAAAAGAGAGCUAGGCACGUACAGAUCCCUUGCCCAGCUUUUCCUGACAGGACAGCGGGGGUAUAGGAUCGCUUUAGCAAAACCUUGGGGCCUAUGUUGUGAGUUUUAUUUUUGCUCACUUUGUCCAUCAUUUCAUUUAUUCAUUUAUUUGCUUCCUUGCUUCCUUAGUUACAUUUAUAUCAUGCCUUUCGGUCUAAGACCAUUUGCUGUCACGUUUCAUAAAGCAGAUGAAAAGAAAUUAAAAUUACCUAUGUGAAGCAACACCACAACUGGAUCAACAUACACUAUACUGGGGGAGGGGGGAGAUGACAUCACAGUGGGAGCAUGAAAGCAGAAAUGGAGGCACAAUAAUAAAUAAAUGCUAUGUUAGUUCAUUAGUCCUAUUCUAUAAAAAAGGGGCCACCAAGCAGAGAAAGGUCGGCCCUUGUAGUCCCCGUGAUUACUUUGUGAUAUUAAUGAGAAUUUUGGUUUGAUUUCUGUCAUUCUGUGACUUGUUUUCAUGUUGCCUCAAUGCAAAGCCUUAACACAAAACUCUUGCAGUAGAAGAUCCUCAGGGCAUAAGAGAAGAAAAGAGGCAAUGUAUCUUUGUAUGUAAAUAAUGUACCCUGAAGGAAGUCUCUCAUUAGAAGAGCAUCCAUGGAAACAUGGCAUUGAACAGGAAGUAAAACCCCAGCAGCCAAGUUGAAGAAACUCCUCUUACCUUUGCCACACAUCUUAAGAGGCUUCAGUCAAUAAGCACGGCUGCUUUCCACAAGCUUUGACUCCAGCAAGACGGAGUGCAGAGCAGAUUGUAGCCAUGUCUGCCAAGUAGGUGGCAGAAUAUUGCUAUGGGGAAGGUGACUCAUCCUUGCAUAAGAGUCAGCCCAUGUUCAGCAUUCAGCAGCAGCGCAGUUGGGUGUCAGCUGAUAAAUACUGGGCACAAAGAAGUACAAUAUCACUGCUACAAUGUUCUCUUUAAAGCCCAGCGUAGCAGAGUGACUGGAGCUUUGGGCUUGGAUGUGAGAACCCUCCAUUCAUUUUGCUGUUCAGCUGAAGCACACUGGGGCAGCCCUGGGCAAGCCAUGGUUUCCUGCCCUUCUCUGGUUGUGAUAGCUAAAACGCUGUUUCAGUGCUAAGGAAGGAAGGAAGGAAGGAAAAAACAAACAAGUGUCUCUGAUAUAUAAUCCUCUAUUCCUUCAUCUCCUACAAGUUCUCCAAAAAAUAAGCAGAGGAAGAUCUGUGGCAUGUGGGGUUGGCGCUGUUGGAAGCCCAUGGAUGAGCCCUGGGAUGUCCUAGCUUUGCUGCUCCAUCUCCCCUUUCUUGUUGUUGCCUGGUGAAGUGUUGUUGCUCAGGGAUACAGCAUCUGCUUUGCAUUCAAAGGAUCCCAGUUUCAGUCCCCAACAUUGCCAGGAAGUGCUGGGAGAGAACCCUGGAUUUCAGAAUCCAGUAACAGAAUUUUUAGAUCAGAAUUCAGAAUUGAUAUACCUGUAUUGUUGUUGUUGUUGUUGUUGUUAAUUUAAAAAAAACCAAAGCCUGAAUACCAGGAAUUCAAAGUAGCGCUUCUGUGAUCACUCUAUCAGUACAAGCACUUUUUGCCCUCCAUGUUCUGUUCUGGGGGUGCGACUAACCCCUGCAACCUAAUUGGGAUGUGUGCAGGGGUUGUAUGGGGCAAGGAGAGGGAAGGGGAAAGCCCUAUAGCACAAGUCCUUGCAUGGGCCCCAUUAGAGGAAUCCACCCCCAUUUUGGGCAUUUUGGGGGCAUUUUGAUGACAAAGCUUGGAGCAGCCUCACUGAUUCUGUGCUGCCAAGGACAAUGAAAGAGCUAAAGAUUAUAGCAUGACAAUUAGACCUUCUCGAUCUAUUUCCAGGCCCAUGCAAAAAAACAAAACGAAAAACCAAAUCCAAUGGUGUGUCCAACUUCGCAUAUCAGAUCAUGUAAACAAAACUAUCAUGGAUCUGCAGUCAGUGCCCCAAUCCUUUCUAUAAUGCAAAAAGCUCUGUGCCAUACACACUGACUGGCCAGUGUUCUCCAGGGUUUGAGGCAAAAGUCUCUCCUAGCCCUAACUGGAGAUAUUGGGGUUGGGCCUAGGACCUUCCGCAUGCAAAGCCGAUGCUAUGGCCCUUCUCCUAGUUCAAAGAUGCCCUACAAGGAAUUGAUUUGGCUCAACACAGUUCAGGUCAUGUGAUCUGUUCCAGGGAUAAUUGAACCCGUGUUGUUUACUAUCUCAUCACAAUGGAAACCUGACAAAUUGUGCUUUUGUUUAUUUUCUCCACGCUCCCCAGGCGAUGUGCAGGGCAGCCUUCCCGAACUUGGCACCUUCCAGAUGUCUUAGACUACAGCUCCCAUCAUCCCUGACCAUUGGUCUAGCUGGCUGGGACUGAUGGGAGUUGGUUCUCAACAAGAUUUGGAGGGCACCAGAUUUGGGAAGGCUGAGGAUGUAUUAUUCUAUCACAGUUCUGGCAUGGACUGAAAUGUCCUAAGCGCUGAACUGUGAAAGGGAAGAAAAACUGUUAGCCUCUAGGACAAAAUGGCAAUAUUUAAAUGCAUCUCUGGUGCAUUGCCUGUGAACAAACAUGAAACCUUAAAUAGCAUACUUAAGAAAGGUUUCAUCUUUGUUUUUCAAGAGAAUGGCCAUAGGAGCUCCUGCUGCAAUGAUUCUAUGAGCCAACUGGAUCAGUUAAGCACGCUCCCCACCGCCAUCAAUUCUGGUUUUGUCGCUUUGUAGGGAUAUAAAAGAGGAACUGAGAGCAAAAGUACCAGUUGUGCUUUUCCAAGCAGAGCCACGAUGAAAGUGGUUUAACGGGGUUCAGGCGGAGAGGGUGUGGCAGCUUGCCAGUGUUUAAGCCAAAGCAAACUGCUGUCAGCAUGGAAAUGGCUGAAGAGGCUGACCUCAUGCCUCCCAGGAUUAAGCUGAAAUCUUGCUGGCGCCAUGGUGGGAAUAUUGAAAGGAGCUGUAAUCCUGCCAGUUUGAUUGAGCCAAACUGGCCGGGCCCAUGUGCACAAUCAGCAGCUGAAUGGGAUCUCUCCCCCUGCAUGCCCCAAUAUUAACAAAUGAGUAGAAGCUGCUUAGGGCUGUAAGAAAAAAGGAUGCAGGCAGCCAGGGAAGCGGGGGGUGGGGGUGGGGGGAAGCCAAAUUGCCCGCUACCUGGAAGAGCGCAAUUGUGUGAAGGCUGCUGUUAUGAAAUUGCUGCACCAGAAUAAUAGGCGAAUUGUUCCAAUGCCUUCCACUUCUCCUGUGGAUUAACUGACUUUACAUUAUUUCCCAGUGAUACACGCUGUAUUAUUUAUUGCCAUAAUCAGUAAGAUCCCAAUGCCAUAAAUAACUCGGAUCCGAUGAUGUGACUUUGCUUUAUGGACCCACAUUAAUGGUUUAAAUUAGAUUUCAUAGGAAGCAGCUAUUGCUUUGUGUCUUCCACGAAGAUGCUCAGAUUUCCUUGCAUCUCAACUCCAGCCCUCUGUCUGUGAAAUGUUUUUUUUUUAUAGAGAAAGGAGCAGAAAUCCUAAAAAAUAUUGAGUUGUGUGAGUACAAUCAACCAAGGGAAGUGUAUUACAAGAGGGAGGAUCACAGACCAUUUAUGUUAUGGAGAGCCACUUCCCUCCAAGGAUACAAAUGGGUGACCUUUACUUGCAGCGUUAAAUGCCCAGGGGUCAUUUGUGCAAGACACAGGGAGCUUUAACUGGAACAGGCCAAUCUCAUAAUGGCUGUGUCAGCCGCAGCAGUGCAAGAACAGGCUUGUGCUGCAGCAGUUAAAAUAGCAUUUUAUGUGAUGUUAAUGGUGCAGAGUCACACAGAUAUGCCCUGCUUGCCAAAUACAUCACCCCCCAAAGACAUCUUGGCACCACAUGUUGCUGGCACAAAGGGUUAUAGCUAGGGAUGGAUGUGGGAGAGGGCUUUCUUCCCCAGGGAAACUCCAGACCCAUUCCUUGAAUUUUCAGCUCUCAGUGAUCUGGGUCCUCUGAAGAUCCAUUUAUUUGAGCAGACCUUUAGAGGAUAUCAAUGGUUGACCUGGUUGUGGUAUUGCUGUUAUUGCUUCUGCUGGUUUCUUCUUGUUGUUCUGUUCUUCUGUUUUGAUUUGUGGCUGAUAUUGUCAUUCCCGUUGUGUUUUAUUAUACCCUGCCCUGGGAUCACUACUGCGAUGAAGCGGGUGGGGAAUAGCCAUGUCUUUUCAAUAAGCCGGUCAGUCGGUAAUAGUGGGAAAGGAAUUCUGAGGGUUCCAACAGUGCCUGAAAAUGAAAGGCACCGAGGCUCAGAUUAAGUCGGCAGCCAUGCUUUGCUGCUCUUCUCAUCCCAGCCACUGUAGGCUCUAAAGGGGGGGGGGGGGGAAUUGGGUCCUAGUGCUGGAAUAAAGCUGAGGAUUUAUUCCCUUGAAUCAUUCCUAGAAAUUGUGGACCUUGAUGCCAGUGCUACUACAUGUUAGAGAAGAAAAUCAGAGACAGAGCUAUACGGGCAAUACCCAGCUUGGGCCACCACAUCAUAAUAUAAUGAUGAUGAUGACAAGAAUGAUAUUUAUAUGCCACCCGUCGGACUGGGGUGUCCAAGCCACCCUGGGCGGUUUCCAAAGAUUAAAACACAGUAAGACACCAAACAUUAAAAACUUCCCUAUACAACGCUGCCUUCAGAUAUCUUAUAAAAGUCAGAUGGCUGUUUAUUUCCUUGACAUCUGGUGGGAGGGCGUUCCGCAGGGUGGGCACAACUGCUGAGAAGGCCCUCUGCCUCACUUCUUGCAGUGAGAGAACCACCAGAAGGCCCUUAGCGGUGGCCCUCAGUGUCUGGGCUGAAUGAUGGAGGUGGAGAUGCUCCUUCAGGAAUGCAGGGUUCAAAGCUGUUUAAUUAAUCAACCUGGCCCAAGCAAAAAGACAAAUCACAAGGGGGCAGAAAGGUGCCUACCAUGAUAUCCUAGGGGAUGAAACUUUCCCUCAUGAUAUUGCAUAAGUCUAGUUAAAAUUUCAGAAGGCACCUGUCCUCAAAUUCGUCUACGGUGUGAGUGGAAGGCAAUUUUGUAUUCUUUUGUGAAGCUGUAAAGUAUGUACACCUUCUGGUUCUCUCACAGUAUGUGUCAGUCUCUGAAAAUAUAUAAAGCAAAAAUGAAAAAAGCAACAUGCCUUGAAAAGGUGAUGCAGGCAUCAUGAAUGACUUCAGCCCUGCGGCAUUUAAAAAGGUAUAAUGAUCCGUAGAUACUGCAAACUAUCAUUUUAUGCCUAUUGUGAUGAUAGUAGGGUUUCUAGUCUACACCAGUAUUACAAAGAGCUUCUGCCAUUACGCUGUCUCAGGAAACCCAGUUGUCUAAUAAAGACAAAAAAAGCAUCUUUCUGUCUCUCUCUCUCCCCGCCUCUGUUCCACAAGUUCAGAAGGCAAUGUCAGUAAAAGUUCUGGAACUACGGGGUGGGGAAUUCUUGCUGCCUGGGAUUGGGAAUGGAGGAGAAAUUGGUUUGGUCUGGAUUUUGAUACAAACCAACUAAAUUUUCCAGUCCUGGACAUAUUCUGUGGGUUGAAUGCAGCUUUUUGAUCAGAUUGCAUACUUCUCUGAUUUUUGCAGUGCAGUUUUUGUUCGAAAUGCAAACAGAAAUGCUCACUUCAUUGAAAAUAUGGAUUCAAAAUGCAUAAUUUAAGGGAAAAUGCAUUGAAAAGCACAUAAAAACAUGUACUUUGGGUAAACAAUGGUUGUACUAAAUGUAUACAAUUAAAGUGCAUUAUUUUGAAAAAUCCUCAAAACCUGGAACAUAACAGACUAUGACUGAAUGCACACAAAACUUAACGUGGAAAGGAAUUAAGCUGAUCCAUCACUAAGUUAAGAAUAGACAGUGAAAGCUUAAGAUAACAAUUUAUAAGACUUUCGGGGAGAGAAUCAGUGUAUCGGUACUAACUGCUUGUUUGAAAAUAACUUGAAAAUUUAAACUAGCAAUGGACGAAUCUGUAAAUCGUGGUUUCUCUCCAUUUGUCUUUUUCCCAGUGUUGACUUCACCAUAUUUCUGCAUCAGUUUGUGAUUUUUUUUAAAAAAAGGUCCUCAUGGAAAUAUAUCAGUAUUUUAGUGUGCAUUUGUCCUAAUAGAAGCAUUUCUGCAAAUACAUUUUCAUAUGUCACUUUCACUACUAUAUGCAGUUUCAUGCAAACAUUCCCCAUGUAUAUGCAUUUCUGUACACAGUUUGGGUUGGAGAACUGCUUUACAAAAUUCAGAGAAAUGCAAAUUUUGAAGGCCAUCAUGCAUUGUUUCAGAAAGUGUACAUUAAAAUACAAACUGAACCAAAUUUCACCACCAUCCCUACUCUAAACCCCCAAAAUAAGGACUGCUGUGGGAAACUGAUUCACUAGAGUUGUGGCAAUCUGGAAUAAGGCCCAUAAUGUCCCUUGUGGGUCUAAUAUUCUGGAAUAGAGGGCAAUCCUUUAAAAAAUAAUGGAUGCAUUCUAAAGCAGCACUCCACAACCCUGUACUUAUCUCAGAUAUUCAAGGAAGCCAAAUGUGAAGUUGAGGAAAUAUGCCAGUUAACAAAACCUUCAUUUGUUUUUAGACAAAGAAAAUACCCACAACAUGACCAAACAGGCAAUGCAUGCACCUUUAUCAGAUGAAUAUCACUGCUUAUUAGCCAUGAAGCUCUCUGGUAUCAUUUGAAUGAUCAUACCUUGAAUUAUACUUUUUGCCCCCACAAAAGCUAAGGUUGUUGUUGUUUCUGAUGAGGUAGAAAUUCUUCAAAACCUAUUAUCAGUUUGAGCAAUUUUACAUAUGUAAGGGUGCUGCCUGUUGGGAAUCGAGCCUUUAUCAGGAGAAACUGGCCACUCUCCAGGCACCCGGCUUGAUCUCCUGUUGACCUCCCUGUCUGCAUUCCCCAGCAGGAUACAGGCUAGGUCGCGAUAGGCGAUCCUUCUCAGCGUGAGAAGAACACCCCCCCUCUUUCCUGCCCCCCCGGGCAGGGGAGAGAGAUAGACAGAAACGUAUUUACAUUCCUUUAUUUCUGUCUUUGCAGCGUUACAAAAAUCAUGACUGCUCUCUUCAAGCUCCAGCAGUCGAGAGACAAACUCCUCCUGUACUUCCUGUCCAGCUCAUAUUACACUCUGAGCUAAUUCCGGUGACCUCUGCACUGUGAAUUGACUGUCCCUCUGUUUCCCACGGAACAGUCCCAACAUUCCCAUUAUGUUUUGCUUUCAAGCUACCAGCAGCUCGUGGCUGCAUUGAUUCAAUAUCGUAACACUGCCUGACCACAAAACUAGUAAGAACCAGUUUUGGAGGGGUCUAGCUGACUGCUAGAGUGAAAAACAGCUCCAGAUAAGAUGCAAGGAGGCCAUUGGAUGAGUGUUUUCAAGGACUGUGGUUAGAGGAAGAGAAAGUGAGGUGUUGGGGUGACAAGUGGUGGCAGAAAGAAGUUGGCUAGAACAAGGGUCGGCAACCUAAGGCUCAUGGACCACAAGCAGCCCAUGGGGGUCGUUUAACUGGCCCAUGGACCCCUGCUGCCUGCUCGGUUGGCUCCCGUGCGCCGCACUAAAUCGGCACGGAGCAGAGCAGGGACCGCCUUCCGUGACGCUGGGCGGCUUCCCUUUGGCUGCAGAAAGCUCCUGCAGCCAAUGGGAAGCUGCGCACGCCUCUUCCGCGCUGGAAGGAGCGCCGGAAAUAGUGUGUGCACACUCUGGCCCACCACGGCAUCUGCGGGACCGUGAACCGGCUCAAGCCACAAAAACUUUGCCUACCCCUGGGCUAGAAAAUAGGCGAUGCAUUUUCUCCUCUAUAGAGACUCUCUCGGUACCAGUGUGGCUGGGAAUGGCAUUAGGCCUGUAUCCAGAAACACCUGUGCUACCUCUUAACAAAUUGUAAACAGACAGCGACAGAAUACCUAUGAACUGGGGAAACUGCCUGCAUGGUAAAAAAGCACCUUGAAGCUGUAAGUUCUGAUUCAUAAACAUAACUUUAAUGCACUAAUUUACAUUUUUCUGGUGGCUACAAAGGAACCAAGGACUGCCAGUGAUCAGAAGAGAAACGCUCUGAUUUGCACUCAUCUUCUUGUUUUCUUACCACAUUUGAAAGGAUUCUGAAGCAGGUAAAGGUGAACAUACCUGCAGGAAAUAUGAGAAUAAUUUGCAGAUACAAAAGAAUGAAAAUUCAGUGGAGACCUCAUCCAGUAUUAGGCAUGUGCUUAAAUUUAGGUGUACAUCCUGACGGAAGCCCCCUUUGGUCAAAGUUAAGCGCCCUUAAGGCAUAUUGAUUUCAGUGAGAGAGAUGUAAGCUCAUUUAACUGUUUUGUUGAAAUCAACGGAUGCUUAAUAUGGGCUCUUGUAAGAGGUUCCUUACAAAAUAACUUGCCUGAAGAUAAGGUAAAAUUGCCCAUAAGUAAUUAACUUUAGCUGGAUUGGGAAGUUAAAGUUAUGGCUUACUUCCAGUGACUGCAAUAGAACUUGUUGGUGAAGACGAACGCGUUCCAUUGGUUUCAAUGGGACAUGCAGGGCAAUUGUAGCUGGAGUCAGUAUUUACUCAGAAAACAACCUUUCUGUUGAGUUACCCAUGUAUAUAAAUGAAUAUAGGAUUGCAGCUUUAUUACAACUAACUUUAGCUCUCCAUGUCCCACAUGACAUUUCUUCCCAUUUCCCCCUGCUGAUAUUGCCUGUACCACUUAGCAUGGAAGGGCAUUUUUGGCUGACAUGAUGAUUAUGCUGGCUAGUGGACUGACUUCGACAGGUAGGGUGUCAAGGCCAGAAGCAAAGGCUCUGAGAACAGAUUAAAUCUAAAGUUGAUGAAAUGGUCUGAAGUCACUGCUUGGCCAUUUCCCCAGUAUAUAGAACAUUUGAAACUAGCAGAGAAGCUUCUUUUGGACGUGCCACCCACAUAAGUUUUCCUGGGAAUUUACUUUCUGUCUGUCUCAAUUCCCUCUGCAGUGUCAAUUUAUCAGCUCAGACUCAUUAAGAAUACAUCUGCUCACAGUCUCCUGGGGACUGAUAUGUCUCAGCAUGCAACCUCAUUCGUAGGCCCCUACCAUAAGCUCUUGCAAAAGCAGCAUGCAAUUAUUAGGACUUUAUUCAUUUCAUACUUCACACUGUUUUGCUUCAGAGUGGCUGUGAGCUGUUCAGUGGGAUCUCAUGAGUUGAAGUUCAGUGGGCAGGUGAAGUAAUUCCUUUCAAGGUAAAUGCAGUUAAGGUACCCCAGUAUUCCAACAUCAUCCCUGCAAGUCAUGAUCCAUCUUUAACACACCUAUUAUAGUUCACCUUCUAGAGGACUAUCCAAAGCACAAGACUGUCAUUCUUUAUGAGAAGGAUUUGGUUGAUGCCUGCCUUCUUCUUGAAAUUAUAUGGUUAGACAAUUGCAAUUUGUUAUUUGUGAGGUUACCAGAGGGUAGACGUCUUCAGCUCAAUUUCAUUUAGAAUACAGCUGUUUCUGAUCUUAUGGGGCUGACGCUUUCUCAGCAGGCUCCCCUUCAUUUCCAAAUCUCCCCACAGGCUCUUCGAACAGUUUUGAUGUUAUGGUUUUGUUAAUAAACAAGCAACUUAGAUUUAGUGCUUUUUGUUUCAUGAACUUUUAUUAACUUCCACUUGUUUCUCACUUUGCACUGGCUGUGGAUAACAGCGAUUAUGUUCCCCUCAAUCCCCGGUGGUGCUUUAUAAAAAGCUAUUCAGGUUUCAUGAAACCAAAAACCAAUUCAACUAUAAUGUGUGGGUGUUGUUGUUUUCCCCCCAUGGGGGAAUACAUAUGCCAUAGAGUACAAAAAUUACAUGAAUUUUUGGGCUGCAUAAAAUAGUCACCAGUUCCAAUAUUAAGAGUUGCCAUAGACAGUUUUGGCAAGGUGUAAAUUUUAUCUCAAAAAGAUUUAAUUGAUGUCCUUUUAGUUCACCAGCUGUGCCCACAGAUAAGAGUGGAGGUGGGUGGGGCGCAAGGAGCAACACAGUGUCCCAGACUCAACUAACCUGGUGCACAAGUGGAAGCCAGUUCCCACUAGCACAAUGAGGCUUUCUCCCCUCUCCUUCCUCUGUGUGCCCCUGCAGUUCCUCCAAGUCCAUUCUGGAGGGUCACAAGAAUCCUCAGAACAGUGUGCAGGGGAGGAGAUGGGGAUUGUUCUGUCUGACAAGAAAAAAAGCUUGUGCUGGUGGAAAAAUCAAGAGAGCAUCACAUUGAGUUCCAGUAUGCACUAUGGCUGAAUCCAUGUCUUUCAAGAAAAGCUCUAACUAUCCUUCUGAAAUUUGGCAGGCAUUAUCCACUCAGAAGGGGUUCUGUGCCUGCAAAUUUAACCAAAUUCUGCCAAAAAGUAAAGGAGCCAUAAUAACAGUGAACGAGGAGACAUUAAACUUUCAUUUUCCUGAAGUGAGGCCACUUUCUGAAUGGCCAAAUCAAGGUUUUUCCUGAAUCUAGUGUUCAGUGCACAUCCUUAUUUGGGGCCAUGACUUUGCAAUCAUUUGGUUUUUUGGGGGGGCUAGGGGAAGUACUAUUCUGACAAAGAUGCUGCUAAUGACAAUACUCAUAUUAGUGGCUUAUUGAUAGCUGAAUCUUAUUUAGCCUUGUUUCAGAAAUGCAAGAAUUGGGAACAAUACAGCCAAAAUGUUUUAUUUGGGCAAUACAAAUACAAUCAAAUCAAAAAUAUCACAGAUUUUCAUACAUUAGUAAGAAGUUACUGUACACUUGAACAGUUGCCAUUUUAUACAGCUAACAAAGCUUUACCUUUAAUAAAAUGUAUUUUCCUCUCACAUAAAAUAUACACUUUUCACUGACGUAUUUUACAUCAUACACCUCUCUGGGAUAAGAAACAUUUCACAAACAAUGCACAACAGAGGCCAUCUUCUCUAAACCCAUACAAAAUAUUACAUUGAAGCGAGAAACACUGUAAUAUCCUACUAUAGGCUGCCGCCCUCAAAGUCAUAUUCUGUUGCUACUUAAAAUACUACAUGCAUCAUAAAAUGCUGUACAUUGAUUGAAGAUUGGACACAUCAGAUUUGCUCAGCACUCUGCAUUGUACUUUAGAAUGUCAAGCUUCUAGCUAGAUCAGUGGCACACUUGCAUCUUUCUUUGUGUCCAAAUAUGUGCAAUUCAGAUAAUGGCCCACAUGUUAAAUACUAUGUUUUGGCAGCACAACACCAAGAGUUGUUAUUUGGUAUCUCGGUGUGCCUUGAAGGCAUGCAGUUCUGUAAAAGUUGAAGGCUGAUUUUUGUUUGCAGACAUUAACCCCAAUUCAGAGAUUGCUCUGUGUAGACAUGUGAGGGGCCCUUGCGCAUGGAGACACCUUUAUGUACACCACAAACCCACAAUGGAGCCCAGUGAUGGAGGGCAGGAAUGGCAGACAUAAGAGACCUGCCCUCUGUACAGAUAGCUCAUUGCUGGAUAGCAUCACAUUUGAGCAAAGGAAGCAUCAUCCAAGGAUGAGGAAGCAGGUGCGCUAGGUCUUAUGCACAUGCUUAAGUGCAUGUACACCCCCAACACUCCUCACAGUAUUAUGAGAAUGCACCUUCUCAUUUGUUUCUUGAUAUGGAUGAAAACACCUGUAUCCACGGUCUGUAAAGCUACAUGCAGAUUUCCAUACUUGGCACGAGCCACAUGCAAAGCCUAAUUGCGCACAAGAAUCUCUGGCUCAGGGCCACAUGUGCCCAUUUUAUUGAAAACUACCUUGUGGUAAUAGAAAAGUUAGUGUUAAUCUUAAAACGUGUCCUUUGCAAAAUGUAUAAAUCUGAACCAGGAGUCAAUGGUUGCAUGCUGCGGGAGGAAAAAUACAGCCUUUAUGGUGCCAUGUUAUAGAUUCUGCAGUAGUCUCAUGGUUUCCCUUCCUAUCCAUAUAAUAGAGAGGAGGGGUGGGUGGGAAAUGUUCUCCCAGAAAACAUUCUAGCCAUGCUGCAACCCAAAGAACAAUAGUAGCAAGCCUCUUUAUACUGCAAGGUUUCUUCUAUGCUUUUGAUAGGAAACUACCAACAGAUUUGGUUUUCCCCCCCAUCAAGUGUCAUCCUAUUUAAAGAGCAGGCGACAGGAGAAAGUCCCUUGAAUCCUGCAUGGUGAUGCUAGGAUCUAGGCAAACCCCAUGUUAAAUUCAAUGGGACUUGAAUUCCAAGUAAGUGUUUAUGAGAACGAAGGCUUAGAUUCAGGACAAUUUGUGAUGGCAGUAGACUUGAUUGACUGUGAGUCUCCUCCAGCCAUGCAUAAUGUGCAUUGGGAGCAGAUUUGAAUAGCAAAAAUAGUAUGCAAGUGAAGAGAGCUAAGCCUCCCUCCUCCCAUAGCUUACCUAGUCCCGAUCUGUUGCCUGAAUACUUUUUCCAUGUUAGUCAGACUCUGAUGCAGUGAGUGAGUCUAGCCGGGACAAAACACCUGGAGAGGUAAUGAAUAGUGGGGAGGUAAAAUGCAAGAAGAGGGUUCAGCUCUCUCCUAUGUGCUCUUUCUGCAUUCUGGUUGGGCCCACAGUUCUCUGUAGGUUAGUUCCAGCAUUAAACCAACAGACUUGCCAGCAUGGUGGAUACUUUGAAUCUUAGAGACUCAAUGAACCUCAGGUCAAACUGCAUCAAUAGAAUCGUCUCUCUCAGAGUUUAUCCUCUUCAGUUAACCAGAAUAAUUCCCCCCCUGCUAAAUAUGAAAGGAGAUUUUCGUCCUAUGCAUUGUAUGAUAGAGUAAGGAAUGAUACGUGGAUAUUAACCAAGAGUUUUGGAAAUCUUUUGCAAUUACACUAAGCACCUGUUUAGUUUUAGGGGAUUAACCCCUCCCAAUUGCACAUAUUAAGAAGUAUCAAUUUAAAUGGACAGCUCAAUAUGCACAGUAGCUUUGUUUCCAUAAGAUGUUUUGCAUUUUGCAUUUCUCUUGUAAAGAACCAGCUUUCUAGAGACUUAAGUCCUUGACAACAAUGAUAUAGCUCUGUUGAUUUUUAAGUCCUUUGUGUUCAGUGAAAACGCAGCAUUGAAAUCACCAUUUAGGAACAUUUUUGUAUUUCUACAGUUUCCCACAAUACUGAACAGAAGUUGCAGAACCACAGAACCUUCUAAACUUGGACUAAUACCAGAGUAGUGAAUAUUUGCCUGUAUAUUUGCCAGAAUAUUUGUUAGAUUGAGGUAACGGUUUCAGCAAGUGUUAACCUACGUUCAAAUAUCAAGACUCCUUUCUGACCUCCUUUCUUAUUUUGCAGAGUUUCUUUCUUAUCUUGCUGUCAAACUGACUUCAUAUAGUAAUAUCCUAGGCAUCCUAAUCCCAUUCACAGGAAGAAAUUCCCCUACUAAGAUUUCUUCAUUUUACCUGAAGUUACAUUUGGAACCCCAGACCGUUGGCAUUCAGAAAAUCUUACUACAUCUAAAUAAGGCAUCUAUUUAUAUUUUCUUUACUAUGCUCCAAAUAAAAGGUUUCCAUUACGUCAAGAGGAUAUAUCAAGAGAAGAAGUAAAAAGGAGAAAUAUGUAUCUCUUGCUUAGAAGCUGACUAGAAUGAAGGUCAAAGAAAAAGGCAGUGCCUAAUGGAUUAGAACACUAAAGACUAAUGUGAACAUUGCCCAUCACUAAACAAAAGUGUCUGUUGUCUGAUGGGAGCAGAAAGGCAUGUAUGAAUAAGGAAUGCCCCAACAUAGAAGAUACAAGAUGCUCUUUUACCUCCUGAUCUCCAGCAUCAGCCAUCAAUGCCAUGGGAUUUCUUUCUAGAAAGAAACUGUUAACUUACUCCAGAUUCAACAUAGUGGCUUUGUUCAACUGUGAAGAAUAUAACUCGUAAACAAUGUGAGUAAAUAAAUGUAGUGUAUGAAAGAGCACUGACCCGGGUGGAUUUUUUAAUUUUUUUUGUGGGUGUCAGUGUUAAUUUGAGUCCAUCAAGUCAAAUUUCAGAAGGAUGUAGAGAACAGUCCUUCCAUGUUGGCAAUUGAUAUUUUAAUUGUUAUCUGAUGCCAUUGGGCCCAUCCUUAUCACAUACAUUUCCCCUGCCUGUGCUGCUUUCACCUGUCAUGGUUGGGAAAUGUCCUUCACAUAUCAUUUGGCUGGUUCUUGACCAGAAGAAACCGUGUGCACGCUUGUGUGUAUUUACAAUUAUUUGUGUCUUUCAAUCAAUGUAGUUUAAUUUUGCCAGAUACAUCAUUUCUAGCCAUCUACCCAGCACUUGUUAUUUAGAAGAAUAUAACUAACUGAAGACACAUUGCUUUGAAAAAGUCCUUUUCUCCCCGCUACCACCACCGCAUCGCAAAAUAUAUUAGGUGCAAUGCAGUACUUAGACUGCUCUUCCUUAUUGUGAAAAUGAAUAAAGAAAGAGAAUCAAUGUUUGCCAUGCACCAUUGGGACACUGAAGUGAAUGGAAACGGAUCGAUUCUCUUCUGAUUCUUACCAAAU